RNAcentral lists this ribosomal RNA (889 nucleotides) under Staphylococcus aureus. Its description in RNAcentral is "partial 23S ribosomal RNA". It matches the Rfam family "Bacterial large subunit ribosomal RNA", at positions 701 to 1587 of the family's 2925-position model. Lineage: Bacteria; Bacillati; Bacillota; Bacilli; Caryophanales; Staphylococcaceae. The record is from RNAcentral.
AUUUGGUCGUAGACCCGAAACCAGGUGAUCUACCCUUGGUCAGGUUGAAGUUCAGGUAACACUGAAUGGAGGACCGAACCGACUUACGUUGAAAAGUGAGCGGAUGAACUGAGGGUAGCGGAGAAAUUCCAAUCGAACCUGGAGAUAGCUGGUUCUCUCCGAAAUAGCUUUAGGGCUAGCCUCAAGUGAUGAUUAUUGGAGGUAGAGCACUGUUUGGACGAGGGGCCCCUCUCGGGUUACCGAAUUCAGACAAACUCCGAAUGCCAAUUAAUUUAACUUGGGAGUCAGAACAUGGGUGAUAAGGUCCGUGUUCGAAAGGGAAACAGCCCAGACCACCAGCUAAGGUCCCAAAAUAUAUGUUAAGUGGAAAAGGAUGUGGCGUUGCCCAGACAACUAGGAUGUUGGCUUAGAAGCAGCCAUCAUUUAAAGAGUGCGUAAUAGCUCACUAGUCGAGUGACACUGCGCCGAAAAUGUACCGGGGCUAAACAUAUUACCGAAGCUGUGGAUUGUCCUUUGGACAAUGGUAGGAGAGCGUUCUAAGGGCGUUGAAGCAUGAUCGCAAGGACAUGUGGAGCGCUUAGAAGUGAGAAUGCCGGUGUGAGUAGCGAAAGACGGGUGAGAAUCCCGUCCACCGAUUGACUAAGGUUUCCAGAGGAAGGCUCGUCCGCUCUGGGUUAGUCGGGUCCUAAGCUGAGGCCGACAGGCGUAGGCGAUGGAUAACAGGUUGAUAUUCCUGUACCACCUAUAAUCGUUUUAAUCGAUGGGGGGACGCAGUAGGAUAGGCGAAGCGUGCGAUUGGAUUGCACGUCUAAGCAGUAAGGCUGAGUAUUAGGCAAAUCCGGUACUCGUUAAGGCUGAGCUGUGAUGGGGAGAAGACAUUGUGUCUUCG